GGCGGCCGUAGCGCGGUGGUCCCACCUGACCCCAUGCCGAACUCAGAAGUGAAACGCCGUAGCGCCGAUGGUAGUGUGGGGUCUCCCCAUGC
This 92-nucleotide ribosomal RNA is filed under the name Escherichia coli 3-267-03_S1_C3. Lineage: Bacteria; Pseudomonadati; Pseudomonadota; Gammaproteobacteria; Enterobacterales; Enterobacteriaceae. The record is from RNAcentral.